UACGUAGGUCCCGAGCGUUGUCCGGAUUUAUUGGGCGUAAAGCGAGCGCAGGUGGUUUAUUAAGUCUGGUGUAAAAGGCAGUGGCUCAACCAUUGUAUGCAUUGGAAACUGGUAGACUUGAGUGCAGGAGAGGAGAGUGGAAUUCCAUGUGUAGCGGUGAAAUGCGUAGAUAUAUGGAGGAACCCCGGUGGCGAAAGCGGCUCUCUGGCCUUUAACUGACACUGAGGCUCGAAAGCGUGGGGAGCAAACAGG
Molecule: ribosomal RNA, 252 nt
Filed under: uncultured bacterium
Lineage: Bacteria
Description: partial 16S ribosomal RNA
Rfam family: Bacterial small subunit ribosomal RNA
Source: RNAcentral